RNAcentral lists this ribosomal RNA (1670 nucleotides) under metagenome. RNAcentral describes it as "bacterial LSU rRNA". It matches the Rfam family "Bacterial large subunit ribosomal RNA", at positions 1217 to 2910 of the family's 2925-position model. The record is from RNAcentral.
AAAAAGUAUCGGUAGGGGAGCAUUCCAUCGGCGUAGAAUGCAGUAGGUGACUACUGCUGGAGCCUAUGGAAAAGCAAAUGUAGGUAUAAGUAACGAUUAGGAGGGCGAGAACCCCUCCCGCCGAACGACUAAGGUUUCCCAGGCAAUGCCAUUCAUCCUGGGGUCAGUCGGGUCCUAAGGCUAAGCCGAGCGGCGAGGCCGAUGGCAGACACGGUCAACAUUCCGUGACUACCGCCAUCAGUGAUGUCCUGACGGAGCAGUGACACCUCCGCGCCCUGACGGAAUAGGGCGUUGAAGGGCGUAGGCUAUGAUGAUGCCAGGCAAAUCCGGCAUCAGAGCUGAAACCUGAAAGUACGGGGUCCCCUUCGGGGGAACCUGAGAGCGAGGGUAAGCAUACUCCCGAGAAAAUGGGCUAAACUCAUGUUGGCGGUACCCGUACCGCAAACCGACACAGGUAGUUGGGUAGAACAUACUAAGGCGUUGAGAGAUUCAUGGCUAAGGAACUAGGCAAACUGACCCCGUAACUUCGGGAUAAGGGGUCCUCACCUCCGGGUGAGGCGCAGAGAAUAGGUCCAGGCAACUGUUUAACAAAAACACAGGGCUGUGCGAACUCGAAAGAUGAAGUAUACAGCCUGACACCUGCCCGGUGCCGGAUGGUUAAGAGGAGAUGUCACCGCAAGGGAAGCAUUGAAUUGAAGCCCCGGUAAACGGCGGCCGUAACGAUAACGGUCCUAAGGUAGCGAAAUUCCUUGUCGGGUAAGUUCCGACCUGCACGAAUGGUGUAAUGAUCCGGACGCUGUCUCGGCCAUGAGCUCAGUGAAAUUGUAGUAUCGGUGAAGAUGCCGAUUACCCGCGAUGGGACGAAAAGACCCCGUGAACCUUUACUACAGCUUAGCAUUGACCUUGGUCAUCCGAUGUGUAGGAUAGGCCGGAGGCUUCGAAGCGGCGUCGCCAGGCGUUGUGGAGCCAUCCUUGAAAUACGGCCCUUUGGCUGUCUGAGGUCUAACGCGGAUAGUCGCGGACACUGCUUGGUGGGUAGUUCGACUGGGGUGGUCGCCUCCAAAAGCGUAACGGAGGCUUCCAAAGGUGCCCUCGGGCCGUUUGGUAAGCGGCCUUCAAGAGUGCAAUGGCAAAAGGGCGCUUGACUGGGAGGGAGACAUCCCGAGCAGGCAGGAAACUGGGGCAUAGUGAUCCGGCGGAUGUGUAUGGAAACUCCGUCGCUCAAAGGAUAAAAGGUACUCCGGGGAUAACAGGCUGAUCCCCCCCAAGAGCUCAUAUCGACGGGGUGGUUUGGCACCUCGAUGUCGGCUCGUCACAUCCUGGGGCUGGAGAAGGUCCCAAGGGUUGGGCUGUUCGCCCAUUAAAGUGGCACGCGAGCUGGGUUCAGAACGUCGUGAGACAGUUCGGUCUCUAUCUAUCGUGGGCGCAGGAGUCUUGAGUGGUGCUGUCACUAGUACGAGAGGACCGUGACGGACAGACCUCCGGUGUACCGGUUGUGCCGCCAGGCGCACCGCCGGGUAUCCGCGUCUGGAUCGGAUAAGCGCUGAAAGCAUCUAAGUGCGAAGCUUUCCACGAGAUUAGAACUCCAUUGAGGGUCGUCGCAGACGACGACGUUGAUAGGGCGCAGGUGUAAAGGCGGCGACGUCAAAGCCGAGCGCUACUAAUUGCCC